GGAACUGUGCCUGAAUGCCCAAGGACCACUUUGAUAGAGUGACUUAUAGGGGUUAAACCCCCCUCAGUUCCU
Molecule: transfer RNA, 72 nt
Filed under: Discogobio longibarbatus
Lineage: Eukaryota; Metazoa; Chordata; Actinopteri; Cypriniformes; Cyprinidae
Description: tRNA-Ile
Source: RNAcentral